GUGGAAGCGUCUGGAAAGGCGCGCGAUACAGGGUGACAGCCCCGUACACAAAAAUGCACAUACUGUGAGCUCGAUGAGUAGGGCGGGACACGUGGUAUCCUGUCUGAAUAUGGGGGGACCAUCCUCCAAGGCUAAAUACUCCUGACUGACCGAUAGUGAACCAGUACCGUGAGGGAAAGGCGAAAAGAACCCCGGCGAGGGGAGUGAAAAAGAACCUGAAACCGUGUACGUACAAGCAGUGGGAGCACAGAGCAAUCUGUGUGACUGCGUACCUUUUGUAUAAUGGGUCAGCGACUUAUAUUCUGUAGCAAGGUUAACCGAAUAGGGGAGCCGAAGGGAAACCGAGUCUUAACUGGGCGUUAAGUUGCAGGGUAUAGACCCGAAACCCGGUGAUCUAGCCAUGGGCAGGUUGAAGGUUGGGUAACACUAACUGGAGGACCGAACCGACUAAUGUUGAAAAAUUAGCGGAUGACUUGUGGCUGGGGGUGAAAGGCCAAUCAAACCGGGAGAUAGCUGGUUCUCCCCGAAAGCUAUUUAGGUAGCGCCUCGUGAAUUCAUCUCCGGGGGUAGAGCACUGUUUCGGCAAGGGGGUCAUCCCGACUUACCAACCCGAUGCAAACUGCGAAUACCGGAGAAUGUUAUCACGGGAGACACACGGCGGGUGCUAACGUCCGUCGUGAAGAGGGAAACAACCCAGACCGCCAGCUAAGGUCCCAAAGUCAUGGUUAAGUGGGAAACGAUGUGGGAAGGCCCAGACAGCCAGGAUGUUGGCUUAGAAGCAGCCAUCAUUUAAAGAAAGCGUAAUAGCUCACUGGUCGAGUCGGCCUGCGCGGAAGAUGUAACGGGGCUAAACCAUGCAC
This 860-nucleotide ribosomal RNA is filed under the name Escherichia coli. RNAcentral's name for it is "partial 23S ribosomal RNA". It matches the Rfam family "Bacterial large subunit ribosomal RNA", at positions 332 to 1194 of the family's 2925-position model. The record is from RNAcentral. Lineage: Bacteria; Pseudomonadati; Pseudomonadota; Gammaproteobacteria; Enterobacterales; Enterobacteriaceae.